This 1545-nucleotide long non-coding RNA is filed under the name Gallus gallus (chicken). RNAcentral describes it as "long non-coding RNA NONGGAT008371". Lineage: Eukaryota; Metazoa; Chordata; Aves; Galliformes; Phasianidae. The record is from RNAcentral.
UGAGUCUUGGUUAACAAGCUAAAACUACUCAGGUGAUGGCUGUACAACAUUAGUUGUGAGCACAAGAUACCCUGUGAGAUACCCUUGUCUGACAGUGCAUUUGGGAGCAGCAGGGAAGGAGCUGGAGGGAAAGCCAUAUCCAAGCACUGGUGUAUCUGAAGCCUUCAGCAGAGUUAUCCAUUACUGGAUCUCACUUUGCAUUCCAGGCUUGCCUGAAGUACAGUUUCUCCCCAGCUAAAGCAUGCAGUCUCAUGGACAGAGGAUGAGGAUUGCAGCAUGUGGAGCUCAUUUGUCCCCAGAUGUCACCACUUCACAGAGGUGGAGGGACUGAGGGGACACCUCGCUGCCUCUCUGGGGCAGACAGCCUUCCUGACCACUGAAGUAAAGCAGCAGUUGUCAGGAGAGCGUGGAAAGAAGAUAUUUAUCGCAUUAGCCCUGCACGAUCAAGGAGAAGGCUGGCUGUUUGAGGAUGCUUUAUUAAUGAAUGCUAGAGGACAUCUUCACCCCUCCUAAGGUACGAGUGGCUCGUUACUGAAAAAUGCAGGGAGAUAAACAGCCAAGUCCUCUGUCUUCUGUGGCUCUUCAGUAGGUGUGUUACACUUGACAUACGUUAUUUAUGAGCCUCAGAUAGUGCCCAAGGCUAAACCUACCACUGCCAUUAAAAAAUAAAAGCCGAUGUUACCGACAGAGUGUUUCUGCUGCUGGUGGUUUAAUAACACGGGUGUCUUUCACGUGACUUGAAAGGCCCAAUGCGAAGUGCAUCAAAGGAGAGGAUAAUUUUUCUAUUGACUUCAAAGACGGAGCAGCCCUGCGGGGCGAUGCGCACUGCUGGGCUCGGGCAUCAGGCACCCACCUGACUGAAGCCUCCCCAGCAGCCUUGCAAAACACCACAUCCCCACCAAAAACACUUCCCCCUCCAGAAGCAAGCACCUAGCUGUGCUGCCAUCAGAGAAACCCUGCCUUAGGGAUAAAAAUGCCUUUCCUUCUUGCCCUCCAAAUCCUCCAAACCUUCCUCCCUCUCCACUGAGUUCAACUCCCACAUAGAAGAGGGGGGGAACCACCUCGCUAGCAAAUCCCACUCUGUGUUAAACUAUCAGAUGCAUUUAUACCCAUGGUGCUCCCAGUCCAGUUGUGGCUGACCGGAGGGCAAGCCUGCCAUUAGAGCCAUACAGUGACCCUAUCACCACUGUAUACCGUCAUACAGAACCUUUGUCACUCUAACCAAGGGGAGUAGAAGGGGCAGGAGAGAAUUGCUGGCAUCAGCCAAAAAAACCCUUGGCUCAAAAGCAAGCUCUCUGGUACAGGAAGGUGUCACAGAAUACAAGAUACCCUCCUGCAGUGGCUCCCUGAGCAAAACUGCUUGUAAAAUGAGUCUGCUGAGAGCACCCCCCACUCCUGGCGUGCUCUGGCUGCUUGCUGCCAACACAUUGCAGGCGCCCUGCAAAGUGCUGCUCACUUGCUCUGCAGUUGCUUGUGACAGCUUGGUUUGCAUGGGAAGAGGGAACGAAAGGGCUCUUCUGAAGAAGAGGAGCUUCCUGCAGCCCA